Molecule: ribosomal RNA, 200 nt
Filed under: uncultured bacterium
Lineage: Bacteria
Description: partial 16S ribosomal RNA
Rfam family: Bacterial small subunit ribosomal RNA
Source: RNAcentral
AGAGUUUGAUCAUGGCUCAGAUUGAACGCUGGCGGCAUGCGUAACACAUGCAAGUUGAACGGAGCUGUGUGCUUGCACACAGUCGAGUAGCGGACGGGUGAGUAAUACGUAGGAAUCUGUCUUAGAGAGGGGGAUAACCCGAGGAAACUUGGGCUAAAACCGCAUACACUCGGAAGAGGAAAGCAGGGGACCGCAAGGCC